RNAcentral lists this ribosomal RNA (468 nucleotides) under uncultured bacterium. RNAcentral's name for it is "partial 16S ribosomal RNA". It matches the Rfam family "Bacterial small subunit ribosomal RNA", at positions 28 to 507 of the family's 1533-position model. The record is from RNAcentral.
GACGAACGCUGGCGGCGUGCUUAACACAUGCAAGUCGAACGGAAAGGCCCUGCUUUUGUGGGGUGCUCGAGUGGCGAACGGGUGAGUAACACGUGAGUAACCUGCCCUUGACUUUGGGAUAACUUCAGGAAACUGGGGCUAAUACCGGAUAGGAGCUCCUGCUGCAUGGUGGGGGUUGGAAAGUUUCGGCGGUUGGGGAUGGACUCGCGGCUUAUCAGCUUGUUGGUGGGGUAGUGGCUUACCAAGGCUUUGACGGGUAGCCGGCCUGAGAGGGUGACCGGCCACAUGGGGACUGAGGGACGGCCCAGACUCCUACGGGAGGCAGAAGUGGGGAAUAUUGCACAGUGGGCGGAAGCGUGAUGCAGCAACGCCGCGUGCGGGAUGACGGCCUUCGGGUUGUAAACCGCUUUCGCCUGUGACGAAGCGGGAGUGACGGUAAUGGGUAAAGAAGCACCGGCUAACUACGUG